AUUGAACGCUGGCGGCAUGCUUUACACAUGCAAGUCGAACGGUAACAGGCCUUCGGGUGCUGACGAGUGGCGAACGGGCGAGUGAUGCAUCGGAACGUGCCCAGAGGUGGGGGAUAACGCAGCGAAAGCUGUGCUAAUACCGCAUGUGAUCUGAGGAUGAAAGCGGGGGACCAGGCAGCAAUGUUUGGCCUCGCGCCUUUGGAGCGGCCGAUGUCAGAUUAGGUAGUUGGUGGGGUAAAGGCCUACCAAGCCGACGAUCUGUAGCUGGUCUGAGAGGACGACCAGCCACACUGGGACUGAGACACGGCCCAGACUCCUACGGGAGGCAGCAGUGGGGAAUUUUGGACAAUGGGCGCAAGCCUGAUCCAGCAAUGCCGCGUGCGGGAAGAAGGCCUUCGGGUUGUAAACCGCUUUUGUACGGAACGAAAAGGCUCUGGCUAAUACCUGGGGCUGAUGACGGUACCGUAAGAAUAAGCACCGGCUAACUACGUG
RNAcentral lists this ribosomal RNA (492 nucleotides) under uncultured bacterium. RNAcentral's name for it is "partial 16S ribosomal RNA". It matches the Rfam family "Bacterial small subunit ribosomal RNA", at positions 30 to 507 of the family's 1533-position model. The record is from RNAcentral.